This 570-nucleotide ribosomal RNA is filed under the name Russula sp. RNAcentral describes it as "partial small subunit ribosomal RNA". It matches the Rfam family "Bacterial small subunit ribosomal RNA", at positions 345 to 962 of the family's 1533-position model. The record is from RNAcentral. Lineage: Eukaryota; Fungi; Basidiomycota; Agaricomycetes; Russulales; Russulaceae.
CAGGCAGUCCCAAAAUAUUAGUCAAUGCUCGAAAGAGUGAACUAGCUAACUGAAAUCAAUUAUAAUAAUUGAUAACAUAAGGGAAAAAGAAUGAUAUUACCUUAUUAUUAGUGUCGUCCAAAUCUGGUGCCAGAAGACUCGGUAAGGCCAGAGACACGAACGUUAAUCGUCUUAAUCAGGCGUAAAGGGUUUGUAGGCGGCUUUAAAAUUUAUUUAUAUUAAUAUUAUAAAAUAAAAAAUAAAAGCUAGAAUCAAAAAGAGGAUAUAUUAAAGAAUGCUUAGAGUAGGUCUGAUAUCCUUAGAUACUAAGUAGAAUAUUAAAGGCGAAAGCUUUUUUCCAUUAAUGAUUGACGCUCAGAAACGAAGGUGAGGAUAGGAAAUAGGAUUAGAUACCCAAAAUACCCCUCUCUGUCAACGAUGAAUGGUAAUUAUUAGUAAAAAUUUUAUUAAUGAUAAUGUUAACACGAUAACCAUUCCGCCUUGUGAGUACAACUGCAAAGUUGAAAACAAAAAAAUUAGUCGGUUUCGGAGCAAACGAAGUGAAGCAUGUUAUUUAAUUCAUUAAUCCGC